UGCAUAUACGCUUUAUUUGGUUCCUGCACAAGAGGGUGGACAAGCCUAGUAUACAAACAUAUGUACAGACAGACAGACAGACAGACAGACAGACAGACGGACAGACAGACAAGACAGACAGACAGACAGACAGGCGGAGAAAUAUAAACACAAUCAUCGACGGAGCUUAAUCUGACUUCAUCGUUGUCGCUAUUAAAUGUUCUCUUGUUUUCCUCGGCCAAGAGUCAAAUGAGGGUUGGGAAAGGAAGGAAGGAAGGAAGGAAGGAAGGGAGGAAGGAAGGAAGGGAGAAAGGAAGGGAGGAAGGAAGGAAGGAAGUCAAAUGAGGGGUUGGGAAAGGAAGGAAGGAAGGGAGGAAGGAAGGAAGGAAGUGAAAUGAGAGGUUGGGAAAGGAAGGAAGGAAGGAAGGAAGGAAGGAAGUCAAAUGAGAGGUUGGGAAAGGAAGGAAGGGAGGAAGGAAGGAAGGAAGGAAGGAAGGAAGGAAGGAAGUCAAAUGAGGGGUUGGGAAAGGAAGGAAGGGAGGAAGGAAGGAAGGAAGUCAAAUGAGGGGUUGGGAAAGGAAGGAAGGAAGGAAGGAAGGAAGGAAGUCAAAUGAGGGGUUGGGAAAAGAAGGAAGGAAGGAAGGGAGGAAGGAAGGAAGGAAGUCAAAUGAGAGGUUGGGAAAGGAAGGAAGGAAGGAAGGAAGGAAGACAAAUGAGAGGUUGGGAAAGGAAGGAAGGAAGGAAGGAAGGAAGGAAGUCAAAUGAAGGUUGGGAAAGGAAGGAAGGAAGGAAGGAAGGAAGACAAAUGAGAGGUUGGGAAAGGAAGGAAGGAAGGAAGGAAGGAAGACAAAUGAGAGGUUGGGAAAGGAAGGAAGGAAGGAAGGAAGGAAGUCAAAUGAGGGUUGGGAAAGGAAGGAAGUCAAAUGAGGGUUGGGAGAGGAAGGAAGGAAGGAAGGAAGGAAGGAAGGAAGUCAAAUGAGGGUUGGGAGAGGAAGGAAGGAAGGAAGGAAGGAAGACAAAUGAGAAUCUAACUCGUAACUUUUUUUUCACAUUAUAUACAAAUCAUUAUCUGUACAAGGAGAGAGAGAGAGAGAGAGAGAGAGAGAGAGAGAGAGAGAGAGAGAGAGAGAGAGAGAGAGAGAGAGAGAGAGAGAGAGAGAGAGAGAGAGAGAGA
Long non-coding RNA from Eriocheir sinensis (Chinese mitten crab), 1153 nucleotides. RefSeq lists it as uncharacterized. The transcript is spliced from 2 exons. The record is from RefSeq and is a predicted model, not a curated record. NCBI's taxonomy places the organism in Eukaryota, Metazoa, Arthropoda, Malacostraca, Decapoda, Varunidae.